UCGCUUUGGGAGGAGCUCGCUUACUAUCAGCUUGUUGGUAGGGUAAUGGCCUACCAAGGCUAUGACGGUUAGGGGGUGUGAGAGCAUGACCCCCAGCAUUGGCACUGAAACACUGGCCAAACACCUACGGGUGGCUGCAGUCGAGAAUCUUCCACAAUGGGGGAAACCCUGAUGGAGCGAUGCUGCGUGCGGGAUGAAGGCCUUCGGGUUGUAAACCGCUUUUGUAGGGGACGAAAUUUUUGACGGUACCCUUUCGAAUAAGAGGUUGCUAACUCUGUGCCAGCAGCAGCGGUAAUACAGAGACCUCAAGCGUUAUCCGGAUUUACUGGGCGUAAAGCGUCUGUAGGGGGUUUAUUAAGUUCCAAGUAAAAUUUCAAGGCUCAACUUUGAAUUCGCUUGGAAAACUAAUAAACUGGAGUCUAGCAGAGGUGCAUGGAACUUGUGGUGUAGGAGUGAAAUCCGUUGAUAUCACAAGGAACACCAAAGGCGAAGGCAUUGCACUGGGCUAGCACUGACCCUGAGAGACGAAAGCGUGGGGAGCAAAACGGAUUAGAUACCCGUGUAGUCCACGCCCUAAACGAUGAAUGCUAAAUGUUCGGGGAUUCGACCCCCUGGGUGUUACAGCUAACGCGUUAAGCAUUCCGCCUGGGAAGUACGGCCGCAAGGCUAAAACUCAAAGGAAUAGACGGGGAUCCGCACAAGCGGUGGAGCGUCUGGUUUAAUUCGACAGUAAGCGUGGUACCUCACCAGGGUUUGACAUCCCUUGACAGCCUUGGAAACAAGGUUUCCUUCGGGCAAGGUGACAGGUGCUGCAUGGUCGUCGUCAGUUCGUGCCGUGAGGUGUUCCGUUAAGUCGGGAAACGAACGAAACCCCUACUGCAUGUUACAAUUUCUCAUGCAAGACUGCCCGGAUAUACUGGGAGGAAGGUGGGGAUGACGUCAGAUCUGCAUGGUCCUUAUACCCUGGGCGACACAGGCGCUACAAUGGCAGAGACAAAGGGUUGCAAAACCGCAAGGUGAAGCUAAUCCCAAAAACUUUGUCUAAGUUCGGAUUGAAGGCUGCAAUUCGCCUUCAUGAAGCUGGAAUCGCUAGUAAUCGUGAAUCAGCCACGUCACGGUGAAUAUGUUCCCGGAUCUUGUACUCACCGCCCGUCACACCAAGAGAGUUGGUAGCUCACCGAAGCGUCCCGUUUUAGCGGGGC
Molecule: ribosomal RNA, 1202 nt
Filed under: uncultured organism
Description: bacterial SSU rRNA
Rfam family: Bacterial small subunit ribosomal RNA
Source: RNAcentral